UGUUGCUUGCAAGGGCGUAUGGUGGAUGCCUUGGCAGACAGGACCGAUGAAGGACGUUUGAGGCUGCGAUAUGCCUCGGGGAGCCGCCAACAGGGCUUUGAUCCGAGGAUUUCCGAAUGGGGGAACCCACCGACCGUCAUGGGUCGGUACCGGCUUCGGCCGGGGGGUACGCAGGGAAGUGAAACAUCUCAGUACCUGCAGGAAAGGAUAUUCCGUGAGUAGUGGCGAGCGAAAGCGGAUGAUGGCCAAACCUUGCGCGUGUGAUACCCGUCGGGGGUUGCGCGCGGGGUGUUGCGGGAUCGCGUGCGCCGGCUCCGACGGGCCGGCCGGCAGUUGCAGAAAACCAUGUGUCAGGGGAACCGGGUUGAAUACCGGGCCGCAGAGGGUGAGGGCCCCGUACCUGAACGCGCAUGGUCUGCCGAUCGCGUCUCCCAAGUAGCACGGGUCCCGUGGAACCCCGUGCGAAUCCGCCCAGACCGUUGGGUAAGCCUGAAUAUUCCUGUCUGACCGAUAGCGAACGAGUACCGUGAGGGAAAGGUGAAAAGUACCCCGGGAGGGGAGUGAAACAGUCUCUGAAACCGUGCGCCUACAAUCCGUCGGAGCCCUUUUGUGGGGUGACGGCGUGCCUAUCGAAAAAUGAGUCUGCGAGUCAGUGGCAUGUGGCGAGCAUAACCCGUGUGGGGUAUGCGUAGCGAAGGCGAGUCUUAAAAGGCGUUUGAGUCGCGUGUCCUGGACCCGAAGCGGGAUGAUCUAGCCCUGAGCAGGUUGAAGCGCGGGUAAGACCGCGUGGAGGACCGAACCCACCUGGGUUGAAAACCGGGGGGAUGACUUGGGGCUAGGGGUGAAAGGCCAAUCAAAUUCCGUGAUAGCUGGUUCUCUCCGAAAUGCAUUUGGGUGCAGCGUCGGGUCAUUACGUCCCGGGGGUAGAGCUACUGGAUGCUUGCGGGCCCGUAUCGGGUACCAACAGCAACCAAACUCCGAAUACCGGUGACGCGUAUCCCGGCAGUGAGUCGGCGGGGGAUAAGCUUCGUCGUCGAAAGGGAAACAGCCCAGACCGUCGUCUAAGGUCCCGAAGCGUGUGCUAAGUGGGAAAGGAUGUGGAGUCGCAUAGACAGCCAGGAGGUUGGCUCAGAAGCAGCCACCCUUGAAAGAGUGCGUAACAGCUCACUGGUCUAGUGGUUCCGCGCCGACAAUGUAGCGGGGCUCAAGCACACCACCGAAGACGCGGCAGUAUUUUGUACUGGGUAGGAGAGCGUCCCAUGAGGGGCGAAGCGGCCGUGUGAACGCGCCGUGGACUUCAUGGGAGUGAGAAUGCAGACAUGAGUAGCGAGAGACGGGUGAAGAUCCCGUCCGCUGGAUGACCAAGGGUUCCAGGGCCACGUUCAUCGUCCCUGGGUGAGUCGGGUCCUAAGGCGAGGCCGACAGGCGUAGUCGAAUGGAUGAACGGGUCGAUAUUCCCGUACCGGCUUUCAGCCGCCAAAACCGAGGCUUGGAGUACUAACCUCCGGGUCCGGGCUUACUGCUCCUUCGGGGGCGGGAUGCCCUGGCCUGUUGGGACCGAUCCUUGUAGUAGGUCAGCGCAGGAGUGACGCAGAAGGGUAGCCGGCCGCGGAGGUGGUCUUCCGUGGUCAAGCACGCAGGGCGUGGGACAGGCAAAUCCGUCCCGCAUGGGUCCGAGGUGCGAUGAUGGGGGCCUUAUGGCCCGAUAUCCGGUGAUCCCGGCUGCCGAGAAAAGCUUCGGCGUCAGGCUCGAAGCCGCCCGUACCCCAAACCGACACUGGUGGUCAGGUAGAGAAUACCAAAGCGAUCGAGCGAAUCCUGGUCAAGGAACUCGGCAAAUCACUCCCGUUCCUUCGGUUUAAGGGAGACCCCCGAUGGUGAACCGCCUCGCGCGGGGAGCUUUUGGGGGUGGCACAGACCAGGGGGUAGCGACUGUUUACCAAAAACACAGGUGCAUGCGAAGGCGCAAGCCGCUGUAUAUGCACUGACGCCUGCCCGGUGCCGGAAGGUUAAGAGGAUCCGUCAGCCUUCGGGUGAAGCGGUGAAUUCAAGCCCCGGUAAACGGCGGUGGUAACUAUAACCAUCCUAAGGUAGCGAAAUUCCUUGUCGGGUAAGUUCCGACCUGCA
Molecule: ribosomal RNA, 2127 nt
Filed under: human gut metagenome
Description: bacterial LSU rRNA
Rfam family: Bacterial large subunit ribosomal RNA
Source: RNAcentral